Molecule: ribosomal RNA, 497 nt
Filed under: uncultured bacterium
Lineage: Bacteria
Description: partial 16S ribosomal RNA
Rfam family: Bacterial small subunit ribosomal RNA
Source: RNAcentral
GAUGAACGCUGGCGGCGUGCCUAAUACAUGCAAGUCGAGCGAACGGACGAGAAGCUUGCUUCUCUGAUGUUAGCGGCGGACGGGUGAGUAACACGUGGAUAACCUACCUAUAAGACUGGGAUAACUUCGGGAAACCGGAGCUAAUACCGGAUAAUAUUUUGAACCGCAUGGUUCAAAAGUGAAAGACGGUCUUGCUGUCACUUAUAGAUGGAUCCGCGCUGCAUUAGCUAGUUGGUAAGGUAACGGCUUACCAAGGCAACGACGCAUAGCCGACCUGAGAGGGUGAUCGGCCACACUGGAACUGAGACACGGUCCAGACUCCUACGGGAGGCAGCAGUAGGGAAUCUUCCGCAAUGGGCGAAAGCCUGACGGAGCAACGCCGCGUGAGUGAUGAAGGUCUUCGGAUCGUAAAACUCUGUUAUUAGGGAAGAACAUAUGUGUAAGUAACUGUGCACAUCUUGACGGUACCUAAUCAGAAAGCCACAGCUAACUACGUG